CAGAAUCCCCGAAUGUUACCCGGAUUUAUUGGGCGUAAAGAGUCUGUAGGUGGUCUAGUAAGUUCAAGAUUAAACCUCGUCGGCUUAACCUUCGAGCUGUUUUGAAUACUGCUAGACUCAGAGGGCGUUAGAGGCAAACGGAACCGACGGAGUAGGGGUGAAAUCCGUUGAUAUCGUCGGGAACACCAAAAGCGAAGGCAGUUUGCUGGGGCGACCCUGACACUGAGAGACGAAAGCGUGGGGAGCAAAAAGGAUUAGAUACCCUUGUAGUCCACGCUGUAAACGAUGAUCACUGGAUAUUGGCAGUGUCGACCCUGCCAGUGUCGAAGCUAACGCGUUAAGUGAUCCGCCUGGGAAGUACGAACGCAAGUUUA
This 374-nucleotide ribosomal RNA is filed under the name uncultured organism. Its description in RNAcentral is "bacterial SSU rRNA". It matches the Rfam family "Bacterial small subunit ribosomal RNA", at positions 526 to 896 of the family's 1533-position model. The record is from RNAcentral.